This is a long non-coding RNA of Pseudopipra pipra, 3518 nucleotides long. RefSeq lists it as uncharacterized. The record is from RefSeq and is a predicted model, not a curated record. NCBI's taxonomy places the organism in Eukaryota, Metazoa, Chordata, Aves, Passeriformes, Pipridae. The transcript has 3 exons.
CCUCCUGCCGCUGCUGUGAAAUACCAGCUGGGUCAGUAGCCACCCCAGCUUGUUUCCCAGUUCAGGCUCUGCGCUACUGUCUGCCCUCACUUCACAUCCCUUCUGCCCUUCUGCUGCUUCUGAGAGUGUGAGAGCUUCAGCAGUUACAAGGUGAUGUUCCUGGAGCUGGCUGAGUGCAGGAGAGGAACCCUGGACAGGUAUACUCAGAGCAGCAAUGGAAGCAAUGGCUCUGAGAGUGGUUGGCCCUCUGCCAUCAUGCUUGCAGUGGCAGCAAACACUGAGUUAAAAGGUGCUUCAAUUCUAACUGCAUUUUCACUUUUUUUUUGCCUUUGGAAGAGAAGACAAAACCUGAUAAGCUGUGCUGUUGGGUUCAUAUUUGAUGCCUCCUUUCUCAUUGCCAAGGGGAACUGUUGUAAGAAGCCUGAGCAAAAGAUUUUCCCUCCACACUGUCAUUUAAAAUAACAAGCAAAAAGUUCACGUUGUAGACGCUGCUUCUGUCCUUUAGAUGAAUGCCUGACACUUGUCAAACUGGUGUGGAGUUCGAGGAUGGCCAGCAAUGAGCAUUACAGAGGCUGCUUCCUCCGGACCUCCACCUUGGCAAACUGGGUGCAGGCCUACUGAGAUUUUACCACAGGCUUUCAUUUUGUUCUCAAAGGGCAUUUUUAUUAGCUUCCUGCUAGAAGUAUGGAGCCGAUUGGAGAAACAUUUUUAGGUCUAAUCCUAAUUGACUGUAAGAAAUUAAAGAACAAAAAAGAAAAGGUGGCUUUUGAAAACCAGCCUGGCUUGCACUGCUAACUAGCUCAUGUAGUGAGUGAUUAAAAAAUGCCAGCCAAAAACAGAAAAAGAAAAAACCCUAAAAACCCGAAACCAGAAGAAAAAAGAAAGGUAACAGCAGCAGGAGAGUAUGUUGGAGAUUCCGUGAGCUCCGUUCCCAGCCGCCUGUCGUGAGUAUGAGAAGGCUCAGGUAGCUCUCAGGAAUGAAACCCUGCAGGUCUGUGGCGAUGACAUACCCCUCUGCUACGGACCAGAGGAUGAUUCCGACACAGCUCAUUACAUUUCUAUUUCUGACUAAGCCCAUUGUUGGAUUUAAUGAAUAAGUGAUGUUUUGAACUGAUAAACACCCUGCAGCAAAUUUCCCAUUUUAUGUUGUGAUGAACAAGCCAAUAGAUUUCAGGAAACCCGUAAAGGGCCUUUAACAUAUGAUUUCAGACUUAAUUCAAAGUAGGAGGUGCUUCUCAGAGCUAUCUUGAAAGUUUCUCUCACCUCCACCCCCAAAAUGGGAUAAGAUUUCCACAGACUAAGCAGUGUUAUCUGUAAAACAAGGCAGCAACUGCUACCAACACUAUUGGUAGUUCAUUAUCACAGGGAAAUAUCUUGUAUUGUGAAAUGUAAAAAUGUCUAUUAACUAUUUCAUUGUAAUCCUUUUAGAUACAAAAUAUUCCCUUUGCUUAUCCCACAGUGUGCACCUUCCUCCUCCUUCUCCCUGUAUACUGAAGACUUACCUGUCCCACACCCACUUGCUUAUGUUUCCAGGCUUGAUCCUCACACCUUUGAUCAUGCAAUUAUGGCUUCCCCAUGGGAAACCAUUCACUAUACCAAAAUCAGCAAAUGUGAGACCAGCAUGAAACAAAAGAAGUUAAAUAUCAGAAUAGAUCUUUCUGGGGACUGCCACAAAAGUGGUGUGAUUAAUUUUUGCAUUAAAUUUAUUAAAAGUUUGCCAUGAAAAGAUAAACAAAGCUGCCACAAAACUUCUGUUAUAGGAUGGUGAUGUCAAAGGCUGUCGUCACUUCGUUGCAGAGUAUGAUUCACCUUGCAGUAGAAUAGACAACAACAUGGUAGAAUUAGAAAAACCCAGGACUGAAAACACUAGUUCAUACUCACAAAUGUGGGUUUUUUUCCCAAAAGCUUGACAGUUGGUGCUCUUUUCUAUGCUUCAGAGACAAAGAAAAAUGAAGUCGUAACAGCCUUCAGAUAGACUUUUAUGAGUCUAAAGACAAAAAGUAAUGUCUGGCACAGAUUAUUUAACUGGACUAAGGGGGAAAUUAAUUCCCUCUGAGGAAGGAAAUUUGAUUUACCAUUUCCUUAAGGCUGAUGGUAGGAGUGGGAGCAUGAGAGCCUGCUCUGGUACGUGAUGAGGUUUUGCCACUCUCGCAUCUUGGCAGGGCAGACUGACCGUCAUGGAUAGUGUUUUUCCUGCCUGUCAGGAAAAACAGAAGGAAACUGACUUUAUCCCACAAAGGACUUCUCUGAGAUUUCAGUCAUGGCUGGGUGUCCCUCAGUCCCUCUUUUGUGAAAUCUUUUUUCCCAAGACAAAAGCCCUGGAAAAGGAGCAGAAACCAACAAUAAUUCGGGCAAAAAUGCAAGUGCUGCUGGUAGGUUGCAGGGAGGCUCUAAAGGGCAGGGAGCCUUUCCCUAUUCCCAAGGACACAUGUCCAUGAUGGAGAAAGUCCCCAGAGGUUUCAUUGUUCUUCUUUCUGCAUAUCAUGUGCCCACUUCCCUGUACCUAUGGUCUUCCCACAGGCACCCUCCCUACCCUGACCUCUAACUCCAAGGGUACUUAUGGGGGUGCCUUAAUGCCUCUGUGCAACACCUCAGAUUGGACACUGAUGGGAAAAGCUAUAUAAAACAAGGAACUGAAUACUUCCAAGGAUAGUGACGUCUGCGUGUGAUUACUUGUUUGGCUGCACUGGCUGAAGCUGUACUGCUAACUCAGCAGACUGUAAGUAGACAGUAUUGUCUUUUCGGCGCAUUCUGGCUGCAAUUCAGGAUGUUAAUAAUAAUCUGGAGAGCUAUGGAAGGCUUGGAUCCUAUCUAUCAGGAAUCGUGUCUCUCUCCACAUACAGUUACAGGAGGCAAGACUGGGGAGAUGAUCUUGCUGACAGUUCCCUAAUUUAGCAAUGAGUGGCAGCAUUCGCGGUGGAGACCUGUACCAAAUCCAUUAUUUAUUAAGCUAUUACUUAGGAUCCAGAACGGGUGUAUUUAUUUGUAAGAAAGUCUGUGGACAUCUUGAUUGCUGUUCUAACAUAUGUUUAUGCAUCAGAGUCAAUGCUAGGGGGAUGCUUUGGUUUUAAAUUAGGAACAAAAUAUCCCCUAAAAGCUAAAUAUUAUACUGUGUUGUUCUAUUCUUUCCCCAACACUUACGCCAACACUGAGAGAACACUCCGGCCAAGCUGAUGGGCAGCCAAAUAUAAUUUAUGGCUUGUUUUAAACUGAUUUGUUGACUUCUUGAAAGGCCCUGUCAAAAAGAACAGUCCCCUGAGUCCUAACGAUGAUAACAGUUGUGUUGCGUCAGCGCUGAAAAACUCUUGGAUAACAGUGAACCUAUCCUGAGAAAUCUUUUUAAAGUGCCUGAACACUGGAUUUUCUGAAAAGAAAUAGAACUAAAGCUACUGUUUGGUAGUACACCUUGGUUUUCUUCAUUCUUUGUUAAUUACCACUGAUUGGUACACUCUCUUGGUAGCAUGAAAAUAGUUUCCCAUAUUCCAGUUCAUUAAAAAUAAAGAUGCGUGUUGUUUAAA